RNAcentral lists this ribosomal RNA (380 nucleotides) under uncultured eukaryote. RNAcentral's name for it is "partial 18S ribosomal RNA". It matches the Rfam family "Eukaryotic small subunit ribosomal RNA", at positions 592 to 976 of the family's 1831-position model. The record is from RNAcentral.
CAAUAGCGUAUAUUAAAGUUGUUGCAGUUAAAAAGUUCGUAGUUGGAUUUGUGGCGUACGGUGGGUUCCGGGCACUUGUUGUCUGAGUAACUUGCUGUUGCCAUCCUUGGGUGGAACCUGUGUGGCAUUAGGUUGUCGUGCAGGGGAUGCCCAUCAUUUACUGUGAAAAAAUUAGAGUGUUCAAAGCAGGCUUAUGCCGUUGAAUAUAUUAGCAUGGAAUAAUGAGAUAGGACUUUUUUGCUAUUUUGUUGGUUUGCGCAAAGAGGUAAUGAUUAAUAGGGACAGUUGGGGGUAUUCGUAUUCCAUUGUCAGAGGUGAAAUUCUUGGAUUUUUGGAAGACGAACUACUGCGAAAGCAUUUACCAAGGAUGUUUUCAUUAA